CUUGCUCCCUGAUGUUAGCGGCGGACGGGUGAGUAACACGUGGGUAACCUGCCUGUAAGACUGGGAUAACUCCGGGAAACCGGGGCUAAUACCGGAUGGUUGUUUGAACCGCAUGGUUCAAACAUAAAAGGUGGCUUCGGCUACCACUUACAGAUGGACCCGCGGCGCAUUAGCUAGUUGGUGAGGUAAUGGCUCACCAAGGCAACGAUGCGUAGCCGACCUGAGAGGGUGAUCGGCCACACUGGGACUGAGACACGGCCCAGACUCCUACGGGAGGCAGCAGUAGGGAAUCUUCCGCAAUGGACGAAAGUCUGACGGAGCAACGCCGCGUGAGUGAUGAAGGUUUUCGGAUCGUAAAGCUCUGUUGUUAGGGAAGAACAAGUACCGUUCGAAUAGGGCGGUACCUUGACGGUACCUAACCAGAAAGCCACGGCUAACUACGUGCCAGCAGCCGCGGUAAUACGUAGGUGGCAAGCGUUGUCCGGAAUUAUUGGGCGUAAAGGGCUCGCAGGCGGUUUCUUAAGUCUGAUGUGAAAGCCCCCGGCUCAACCGGGGAGGGUCAUUGGAAACUGGGGAACUUGAGUGCAGAAGAGGAGAGUGGAAUUCCACGUGUAGCGGUG
This 620-nucleotide ribosomal RNA is filed under the name Bacillus tequilensis. Its description in RNAcentral is "bacterial SSU rRNA". It matches the Rfam family "Bacterial small subunit ribosomal RNA", at positions 79 to 683 of the family's 1533-position model. The record is from RNAcentral. Lineage: Bacteria; Bacillati; Bacillota; Bacilli; Caryophanales; Bacillaceae.